GACGAACGCUGGCGGCGUGCUUAACACAUGCAAGUCGAACGGAAAGGCCCUGCUUUUGUGGGGUGCUCGAGUGGCGAACGGGUGAGUAACACGUGAGUAACCUGCCCUUGACUUUGGGAUAACUUCAGGAAGCUGGGGCUAAUACCGGAUAGGAGCUCCUGCUGCAUGGUGGGGGUUGGAAAGUUUCGGCGGUUGGGGAUGGACUCGCGGCUUAUCAGCUUGUUGGUGGGGUAGUGGCUUACCAAGGCUUUGACGGGUAGCCGGCCUGAGAGGGUGACCGGCCACAUUGGGACUGAGAUACGGCCCAGACUCCUACGGGAGGCAGCAGUGGGGAAUAUUGCACAAUGGGCGGAAGCCUGAUGCAGCAACGCCGCGUGCGGGAUGACGGCCUUCGGGUUGUAAACCGCUUUCGCCUGUGACGAAGUGUGAGUGACGGUAAUGGGUAAAGAAGCACCGGCUAACUACGUG
This 468-nucleotide ribosomal RNA is filed under the name uncultured bacterium. RNAcentral's name for it is "partial 16S ribosomal RNA". It matches the Rfam family "Bacterial small subunit ribosomal RNA", at positions 28 to 507 of the family's 1533-position model. The record is from RNAcentral.